UGAGGAUGGGCGGAACUCUGUCACACAAAGGAAACCAAGGCGAGUCAAGCCGGCAGGAAAGUGUGCGUGAAUCUGUACUGCUGCUUCAGACUGACGGCACUGCCAUAGUUAAAUCCUGUCUCCAUUACUUUCUUCUUGUUCUUACUUCAAGUCCUCCUUGUGCUGGAACUAGGAGUUGGUGCCCUGAAGAAUACUCUGAACACCAUUAUGUCUGAACUCAUGCCCAUCCCCAGACAUGUCCUCAAAGUAUAUAAAACACAGGUCAUGUGAGAAGAUGUGGACUUUGCAGUGAGCCGAUACUCCAAACCACGGACGGACGGAGGU
Molecule: non-coding RNA, 324 nt
Organism: Manis javanica (Malayan pangolin)
Lineage: Eukaryota; Metazoa; Chordata; Mammalia; Pholidota; Manidae
Source: RefSeq, a predicted model, not a curated record